Mustela lutreola (European mink) is the source of this 1120-nucleotide long non-coding RNA. RefSeq lists it as uncharacterized. The record is from RefSeq and is a predicted model, not a curated record. NCBI's taxonomy places the organism in Eukaryota, Metazoa, Chordata, Mammalia, Carnivora, Mustelidae. The transcript is spliced from 3 exons.
GGCGCCCCUCACAGCCCCAUUUCAUCAGACCACUUCCCUGUUCUGGCCCUGACCACCUCAUGGCCCCAGGCGCUCAAGCUCCAGGCCACCUUUCAGAUCAAGGCCGACCCUCCCAGCAGCCCCACCCCAGAACCAGUACGCAGCAGCAAGCGGGGCAGCAGCAAGCGGGGUUGCUUUGUAUCACAUACACGACCAAACGCGGACAUUCUCAGCACAUCAGAGCGCCUCUGUUAGGAAAACCCGCAGCACUUCAAUAAAAUGGAGGCCGUGGCUGGGAGCAGAUCUUCUGCCGUGACCCCAGCGGAGCUGAACGACGCCCCCCCAACUCAAACAGCUGCCAGGUGUCGUUUCUCACCUGGCAGACACAGGCACGACAAGCUCCAGCGCCGUUUCGUAUUGAUGCUCCGGGACAGCAGCUGGGAGAUGAGCCUCUCGCCGGCGAGUGGCAGGUCGCAGUGGGAGCCCCACUCGUGACCUCAGUGAAGAGGCUCCCGGGCGCCGGGCUCUGGGCCGGAGGCCGCCAGGGCAGCCCCAGAAAUGCUUAUUAAAGAGCCAAUAAAUCACGGCUCCACCCACCCUCUCCCCUCCGCCUCGCUGUCUGACUUCCUCAUACUGAUGCAUUUAAUUUAUCUCUAAAAACGGGCGAGACUGCUUCUUUGAUUUCCACAGGGGCCACGUGGGGCAGAGAGCUGACAAAUUAUCUCCCGACCCUGGAUGGCUGAUGUCAUGGGGCCCCAGCACGGAAGGCCCCGUGCCGGUCUCCCCGACGCCCCGCAGUUGGGCUGCGGGCCAUUCCCCAGGCGGUGUUGUCAGAGCUGGUGCUGUCCUGGCAGCUGGCUCGUUUGUCCAUAGCGGUGGACACCCAUCGGUCCACGAGGCCCCCAGCAGGCAGCAGGGCCUGGCCCCUGACCUCUCUUGUCCAUGCCUCCCAUGGGGACAGGCGGCCUCAGGACAGGGGCAGGGGUGGGGGCGCUGACCUUCCCUUGGGCCGGACAGUUUGGAUCAUUUUUUUGCCUAAAUCACCAAGAUAGGCAAAAUCUGUGGGAGUCAGAAAAAGGGAUUUGUUUUCAGCACAUUAAUAUUUACGGUAUAAAUAAAUCUGGAAAAUGUCCAAGAGAAU